Molecule: ribosomal RNA, 892 nt
Filed under: uncultured Bacillota bacterium
Lineage: Bacteria; Bacillati; Bacillota
Description: bacterial SSU rRNA
Rfam family: Bacterial small subunit ribosomal RNA
Source: RNAcentral
CUUUGAUUAUGGCUCAGGACGAACGCUGGCGGCGCGCCUAACACAUGCAAGUCGAACGAGAGAUGAGGAGCUUGCUCUUCAAAUCGAGUGGCGAACGGGUGAGUAACGCGUGAGGAACCUGCCUCAAAGAGGGGGACAACAGUUGGAAACGACUGCUAAUACCGCAUAAGCCCACGGCUCGGCAUCGAGCAGAGGGAAAAGGAGCAAUCCGCUUUGAGAUGGCCUCGCGUCCGAUUAGCUAGUUGGUGAGGUAAUGGCCCACCAAGGCGACGAUCGGUAGCCGGACUGAGAGGUUGAACGGCCACAUUGGGACUGAGACACGGCCCAGACUCCUACGGGAGGCAGCAGUGGGGAAUAUUGCACAAUGGGGGAAACCCUGAUGCAGCGACGCCGCGUGGAGGAAGAAGGUCUUCGGAUUGUAAACUCCUGUUGUUGAGGAAGAUAAUGACGGUACUCAACAAGGAAGUGACGGCUAACUACGUGCCAGCAGCCGCGGUAAAACGUAGGUCACAAGCGUUGUCCGGAAUUACUGGGUGUAAAGGGAGCGCAGGCGGGAGAACAAGUUGGAAGUGAAAUCCAUGGGCUCAACCCAUGAACUGCUUUCAAAACCGUUUUUCUUGAGUAGUGCAGAGGUAGGCGGAAUUCCCGGUGUAGCGGUGGAAUGCGUAGAUAUCGGGAGGAACACCAGUGGCGAAGGCGGCCUACUGGGCACCAACUGACGCUGAGGCUCGAAAGUGUGGGUAGCAAACAGGAUUAGAUACCCUGGUAGUCCACACCGUAAACGAUGAUUACUAGGUGUUGGAGGAUUGACCCCUUCAGUGCCGCAGUUAACACAAUAAGUAAUCCACCUGGGGAGUACGACCGCAAGGUUGCAACUCAAAGGAAUUGACGG